RNAcentral lists this long non-coding RNA (479 nucleotides) under Homo sapiens (human). Its description in RNAcentral is "HSALNT0121908". The record is from RNAcentral. Lineage: Eukaryota; Metazoa; Chordata; Mammalia; Primates; Hominidae.
CCGAGGGGAAGCAGCGGGGCUGCCCGGGUUACGCUGGCCACCCGCACCUGGUCCUGUGGCUUCGACCACUAGUCAGCAAGGCCCCGGAGAGGCCAGCGAAGAGGAGGGGCUCGUUGGCUUUACGGAGACGCGCGGAGCACCCUCAAGGUGCCACACGCUCGCCUGCUCCCUGUUCCUACAUCCUGGGCGUCUUCCCAGGCUGUCAUAUAACUCCUGAGAAUAGUGGUUCUUAACUCUAAAGAGUCUUGCUGUGUCACCCAGGCUGGAGUGCAGUGGUGAAAUCUUGGCUCACUGUGGCUUCAGCCUCCCAGGCUCAAGAGAUCCUACCAUCUCAGCCUCCUGAGUAGCUGGGACUACAGAGAGAAGAACUGAAGCUGAAAAAUCUACCUGCCUAAGGACUCAUAACUUGUAAGAAUAGUUGUGAAACCUCACUGGAGGAACUGCAGAUUCAUUAUUUUUCUUAAUAACACACUAUAAAG